This 301-nucleotide ribosomal RNA is filed under the name uncultured bacterium. Its description in RNAcentral is "partial 16S ribosomal RNA". It matches the Rfam family "Bacterial small subunit ribosomal RNA", at positions 509 to 809 of the family's 1533-position model. The record is from RNAcentral.
CAGCAGCCGCGGUAAUGCGAAGGGUGCAAGCGUUAAUCGGAAUUACUGGGCGUAAAGCGUGCGUAGGCGGUGAGUUAAGUCUGCUGUGAAAUCCCCGGGCUCAACCUGGGAAUGGCAAUGGAUACUGGCAAGCUAGAGUGUGUCAGAGGAUGGUGGAAUUCCCGGUGUAGCGGUGAAAUGCGUAGAGAUCGGGAGGAACAUCAGUGGCGAAGGCGGCCAUCUGGGACAACACUGACGCUGAGGCACGAAAGCGUGGGGAGCAAACAGGAUUAGAUACCCCAGUAGUCCCUGUCUCUUAUAA